AGCUUUGCGCAGUGGCAGUAUCAUAGCCAAUGAGGUUUAUCCAAGGCAUGAUUAUCGCUAAUUGAAUAUAGUUGACACAAUGUUACAUUAGUUUCAGGUGUACAACUUAGUGAUUUGACAAGUUUAUGCAUU
This 132-nucleotide small nuclear RNA is filed under the name Zalophus californianus (California sea lion). RNAcentral describes it as "U4 spliceosomal RNA (ENSZCAG00015003546.1)". It matches the Rfam family "U4 spliceosomal RNA". Rfam says of the family: U4 small nuclear RNA (U4 snRNA) is a component of the major U2-dependent spliceosome. The structure of U4 snRNA from yeast and human has been reported. U4 snRNA presents a k-turn RNA motif in the 5p-SL related to recognition of Snu13 protein. The record is from RNAcentral. RNAcentral also lists the same sequence under 1 other name. Lineage: Eukaryota; Metazoa; Chordata; Mammalia; Carnivora; Otariidae.